This is a long non-coding RNA of Lolium rigidum, 389 nucleotides long. RefSeq lists it as uncharacterized. The transcript has 3 exons. Lineage: Eukaryota; Viridiplantae; Streptophyta; Magnoliopsida; Poales; Poaceae. The record is from RefSeq and is a predicted model, not a curated record.
GGUACUGGUACAACUAUGCAUCAUAGGGUGCAGCUUUAUUCAGGUCCGAUGUCAACAUUUUAAAUGUUGAUGAUUUGUCGGAUGACAAAAUUUGAGGAGGUACUUUUUUUGUGAAUAAUUUGAGGAGGUACUGAUUGUGGAAGAUGAAAAUGGCAAUAUUUGUCGGAUGGGAAUAUGACACAAUGGAAGAUAAUGAUGUCCUUGUCGAGUAUAUAAGAUCAUGAGGGAAACACUGACCUGUUUGUGUCAUCUAGAUCAUGAGGAUACAGCGCAACAUUGACCACUAUUGUUACCGGUGGAAUUGUUGUAGCAGUGUUGGGGGCUCGCACCAAUUAUGUGACUGUUGUGGUUAUGAAUUUAGCUGCUACUCCUCUCGAGCUAAGGUAAAC